RNAcentral lists this transfer RNA (71 nucleotides) under Candidatus Liptonbacteria bacterium. Its description in RNAcentral is "tRNA-His". It matches the Rfam family "tRNA". Rfam says of the family: Transfer RNA (tRNA) molecules are approximately 80 nucleotides in length. Their secondary structure includes four short double-helical elements and three loops (D, anti-codon, and T loops). The record is from RNAcentral. Lineage: Bacteria; Candidatus Liptoniibacteriota.
GAGACAUUGGUGUAGUAGCAGCACUACAGUCUGUGGCACUGUCAGCACGGGUGCAAAUCCCGUAUGUCUCC